Molecule: ribosomal RNA, 400 nt
Filed under: uncultured bacterium
Lineage: Bacteria
Description: bacterial SSU rRNA
Rfam family: Bacterial small subunit ribosomal RNA
Source: RNAcentral
UGGGGAAUUUUGGACAAUGGGCGAAAGCCUGAUCCAGCAAUGCCGCGUGUGCGAAGAAGGCCUUCGGGUUGUAAAGCACUUUUGUCAGGGAAGAAAUCGUUUGGGUUAAUACCCCGAGCAGUUGACGGUACCUGAAGAAUAAGCACCGGCUAACUACGUGCCAGCAGCCGCGGUAAUACGUAGGGUGCAAGCGUUAAUCGGAAUUACUGGGCGUAAAGCGUGCGCAGGUGGUUUGUUAAGACAGUUGUGAAAUCCCCGGGCUUAACCUGGGAACUGCAAUUGUGACUGGCAGACUAGAGUGAGGCAGAGGGGGGCGGAAUUCCUGGUGUAGCAGUGAAAUGCGUAGAUAUCAGGAGGAACACCGAUGGCGAAGGCAGCCCCCUGGGCCAUCACUGACACU